AUAUUUUAAGAUUUUCUGAUCUGAGUGAAAAUAAAUAAAUAAAUCUGUUCUUAUCAGUUUAAUAUUUGAUACGUCCCCUAUCUGGGGACCAUAUAUUAAAUGGAUUUUUGGAACAGGGAGAUGGAAGAAGAGCUUGCUCUGUCCACUCCACGCAUCAACCUGGUAUUGCAGUACCUCCAGGACCGGUGCACCUCUC
Xenopus tropicalis (tropical clawed frog) is the source of this 196-nucleotide small nuclear RNA. Its record names the gene U2. It matches the Rfam family "U2 spliceosomal RNA". Rfam says of the family: U2 is a small nuclear RNA (snRNA) component of the spliceosome (involved in pre-mRNA splicing). Complementary binding between U2 snRNA (in an area lying towards the 5' end but 3' to hairpin I) and the branchpoint sequence (BPS) of the intron results the bulging out of an unpaired adenosine, on the BPS, which initiates a nucleophilic attack at the intronic 5' splice site, thus starting the first of two transesterification reactions that mediate splicing. The record is from Ensembl. Lineage: Eukaryota; Metazoa; Chordata; Amphibia; Anura; Pipidae.